Molecule: long non-coding RNA, 1352 nt
Organism: Silurus meridionalis
Lineage: Eukaryota; Metazoa; Chordata; Actinopteri; Siluriformes; Siluridae
Exons: 3
Source: RefSeq, a predicted model, not a curated record
AGAGAGUGAUAUGGUGCUGAGCUCAUUUCUAAAGUACAGGUGCCAGAAAUAAUCAAAUUCUGUUCCAAAGAAGAACAUCUUUGGUCCCCCAAAGAACCUUAUAUUAAAUUAUUAAAAUCAUCAACUAAUAACAACAGUCAUGCACCAUUUUUUUUUUUUCCUCAUCUUUUUUGGCCGACUGCUUCAUAUGGGGUCAUACAGUAUAUGAUUAGCAUUUGAGAUUCAGUUUGAUGAAUCAUUUCCCCUACAAAAAACCUUUUGUGCAAUGGAAAGGAUCCAUGGAUGUUAAUGGUUUUACACAAACACUUAACAUCCAUGGAAACUUUCCAUUGCACAAAAGGAUUUUUGUUAAUAUAUAAUAAUACCAAAAAAAAAAAUAAAAAUAUAUAUAUAUAUAAAAUACCAAAUUUUGGUACAGUAGAGGAAAAAAUGCAAAACAUAAGAUUACUUGUCUUUUUUUAUUAUUAUUAAUGCAGUUCAUUAUUAAAAUUUGUGAACAAUAUUUUUCAAUUUUUAAUAAAAUUGAAUAAAUCAAAUAAAUGCAAUACACUUUCAUUUCACUAAAUGGCUCUUGAGGGAACUCAGAUUUGAGUCUAUGUCCCGCACGUAAAAAGGAUUGAAUUCACUACACCGUCUGAGUUCAGUAGGCCGACGCCUGAUGGGAAGAAACUGUUCCUGCUUCUGCUAGUGUGAUGGCUGUAGCAUUUUCCAGAUGGUAAAGGAGUAAACAGACCAUGAGGGAAAAGAAAUCCCACACGUGCACAUCUCUAUGUAAAACACAUCACUUGUGUUGACUGUGUUUUGAGCGAGGACUUACUACGUAUCUUUCAGCACAUCAGAUCAUGAAGUGGCGAGAGGCUUUGAUGCGAGGAACACGUGACCCGAGAGCAGAGGCAGUGCAAGUCUGGAAUGUGCUGCUGUGGGAUGGAGAGAUAGCAGAGAGAAGGAGGGAGACUGUAGACAGGACUAAAUGAACAAAGAGCCAUCUUCUUUUUUUGAUCUACAUUUGUAUUAUUUAAAAAGCUGCUUGAUUUAUUCUUUGCAAUUCUACAGAAUUUAAGGAUACAUUAGCAAUAUUAUAAAGUAAACAAAUUAAAAACAUGUCACAUUUUAUUAGUCAAGACUUCAGAAUCUUUAUUGCCAAGUAUCAAGAGUUGCAUGUACAAGGUAUUUGUCAUGGUGUGCUGGUGCUUUAAAAAAAAAUUUAAAACUAUAUAAAAUAAAGUCAUAAAAUAAUAGAUAAAAAGACAUUAACUGUACUCCAUGCAUCAUUACUUUAGUUUUGGACCAGAUUGGUGGCACUUUAUUUAUUUAUUUAUUUAUUUAUUUAUUUAUUUAUAAAUCUGUAUGAA